GCUCAGGAUGAACGCUGGCGGCGUGCUUAACACAUGCAAGUCGAACGAAGCACCUUGAUUUGAUUCUUCGGAUGAAGAUCCUGGUGACUGAGUGGCGGACGGGUGAGUAACGCGUGGGUAACCUGCCUCAUACAGGGGGAUAACAGUUAGAAAUGACUGCUAAUACCGCAUAAGACCACAGCACCGCAUGGUGCAGGGGUAAAAACUCCGGUGGUAUGAGAUGGACCCGCGUCUGAUUAGGUAGUUGGUGGGGUAACGGCCUACCAAGCCGACGAUCAGUAGCCGACCUGAGAGGGUGACCGGCCACAUUGGGACUGAGACACGGCCCAAACUCCUACGGGAGGCAGCAGUA
Molecule: ribosomal RNA, 352 nt
Filed under: uncultured bacterium
Lineage: Bacteria
Description: bacterial SSU rRNA
Rfam family: Bacterial small subunit ribosomal RNA
Source: RNAcentral